Ornithodoros turicata is the source of this 2450-nucleotide long non-coding RNA. RefSeq lists it as uncharacterized. The transcript is spliced from 7 exons. Lineage: Eukaryota; Metazoa; Arthropoda; Arachnida; Ixodida; Argasidae. The record is from RefSeq and is a predicted model, not a curated record.
AACACAUGAAAAUUAUCCUGAUUAGAAUGAAGUUAGCAUGAGCGUAGCCACCAGACAUCCACGCCAUUUGCAUUUUGUGCGAUGUCAAAACAAAACACAGUAGCUCCGCAGUAACGUGGCUGUAGCAAAUUUUUGAACAAUGAUAUUGUCAUUUAGGUUCGUGUCUUAAAUGUAUUCCCUUUUUUAGUAUAUUUUACAGGUAGUGAUUAACCACAAUGAAACGCAGCGGGGUUAGCAUCAGUUACCUGGUUACCGCACGCCAUGCCAAUCCAAGGCAAUCCUUGCUGCUCCCGCGUUCGUUUCACUGGUUUGAACCGUUUCGGCUCGCCGUGAAGAACUCGCCUGCAUAAUUUAUUAGAUGUUUCGUGCUGCGUCAUCCAACCCGAUUUGUUUGUUGCUGGUCGUCAGCUUUUUGUCGUCCUGUCCAACCUACAGACAAUGCGGAUGAAGCAUUUGACCUUCUGCCUGUUGCAACUUAGAGUGUGAUAGUGAGUAUCAGAACAAGACGUGUAAAUCUCGAAAAAGGGUUAUGCUCUCUGACAAUGACGACAAUGGUGAGCCAGAUAUUGUUCAAGGAACGAAGAAAGCUUCUCAGUGUUAUGUGAAGGUUCCUCCAGCGCCAACAAUGCCACCUCGACUGGUCAUAACAGAUUCAAGCACGAUACGGUCGUGCAGUCGCACUUUUGGGCAGUCCUGAUGAAGCUGCUGCUAUUCCAAGUCAUCGGUAACGUCCAAGUACAGCAUGCUGUACUGUGUUUUCAGGGUCCACCUACAAACCGUGAUCUCUUGCUGAUCAAUUCAACCUACAGUGGUGUGGUAUAGCAGGGGCCCAACACAGAGACACGAAGUCUGCUAGAGUCUGCAAUUGAGAAUGCUGUUCUCUACAUGAACCAGCAGGUGACCAGCGCUCUGCCUCGUUUCUGCACACGCGCAUGGAGCAGUCUCCCUGCCUGUCACCCUCAGUAACUCUCUUCAGUGAUUCUCAAAAUGAAUCAACUGCGUCUGCUAGAGUUCACCACAACACCAUUACGGACGCUGUUGUAAAGAGCACUGUAGAAGCUGGCUGCCCUGGGCCAGUGACAGUGGUGGUGGCCGAAUUGGAAGGCGAAAGAAGAAGCAGACAGCAGAGGUGUGAGAAAAGAAACAUCCCAUCAGCGAAAGAUGCCGUUUUGUUGCAGGACCAGCCAGUGCGCCAUCCAACUGCACUCCUGCUGUAUUCUCUGUGCACUAUUUUAAGUGCACAUUGGACACGUUCACAGGAGUUCCACAUGUGGACGAACCACAGCGGAGUGGCAACAGUGCACUUUAAGUACGAGUACUGUUUUCCUGUAGCCCAGAUAUCUGUAGCUUUCUACCUCAGUAGUACCACACCUGCAAGGCGGUUGUUGGUAUUUGGUAAAUGAAAACAGGCGGCUGUGAGAAGAACACGGGGUACAGCUAAGGAACAGGCGGGACAACUGCUUACUCACAACUAAAACUUUAGACUAAAAACUCGCGAAGAGACACUGACUGCAAAACCUUAAUUUCUACAACAAUAGGGCGUUGUUUUGUUAACAGAUAUCGUGAGAUAUGGGUAGACUUUCUUAUCCGGCACCGUGAGGCUUGUAUAAGCACCCGGUCGAUAACCCUCAGGACACAAACUAUCUUCUCGGCAACUAAGGUAUCCUUUUGUACUCGGUAUCCACGUUUUGAGGCGUCUCUCAUCUAUUGGAGCCCUCCGUCGUUCAGUAAAAGUUUAGUUGCGAGUAAGCAAUUGUUCCAUCUGCCCCUUAGCUGUACUUUGUAAUUGUUCUUAUGGCUGCUUGUUUCGAGUGACACUCGGCAGUACUCUUGUAUCUGCUUUCUUCUUGAGUUGCUAGUUACUGGCUGAUGAAAAGUACCGCCCUUCAUAGAUAUGUAGUGAUACAUUCUCUUUUUACAUGAGCAUCACAGUUGUGCAAGUUUCAUUUUUACCUGUGUAACUGUGGACAUCUAGUCAGAUGGGAGUUAAGUGUGGCAAACUUUAUGGAGGCAUAAUGUUACUUUCUUUCCACGUCACAAUUAUGCUGCUGAAGUUCUUCCCUCUGUGUAACUUUGGACUGGUAACCAAGAUUGCUGAUGCAAGCCAGUUGAUUUUUUAUAACAGUUAUUCUCGUAUAUUUUAAUAUAUUUCAAUCCUUUUAUCUCCAUCUGUUGCUGAUGCGAGAUUUUUUUCUCUUUGUGACACAUUUUGUGUGUACCAUUGUGUGAAGGUUAUCGUCAUUGUAGGUGCUACUGUGUCUGUCUGAUGCUUCCUUUUCUCCCAACAUUUUUUUAGAGCUGCAAAUUAUUACCCCUUGUGACAAAAAAGUCUGUGUUGUUGCCUUUUCUGUGUGUGGUAAAGCUGUAACUGCCGCGAAAUAACCAAUUGUUAUAUGUAUAUUUUGUGUUGGAUGGAGGUCGUGUGCAUCUACAGCACAGUUGAAGUUGUC